Molecule: ribosomal RNA, 497 nt
Filed under: uncultured bacterium
Lineage: Bacteria
Description: partial 16S ribosomal RNA
Rfam family: Bacterial small subunit ribosomal RNA
Source: RNAcentral
GAUGAACGCUGGCGGCGUGCCUAAUACAUGCAAGUCGAGCGAACAGACGAGGAGCUUGCUCCUCUGACGUUAGCGGCGGACGGGUGAGUAACACGUGGAUAACCUACCUAUAAGACUGGGAUAACUUCGGGAAACCGGAGCUAAUACCGGAUAAUAUCUUGAACCGCAUUGUUCAAUAGUGAAAGACGGUUUUGCUGUCACUUAUAGAUGGAUCCGCGCCGCAUUAGCUAGUUGGUAAGGUAACGGCUUACCAAGGCAACGAUGCGUAGCCGACCUGAGAGGGUGAUCGGCCACACGGGAACUGAGACACGGUCCAGACUCCUAAGGGAGGCAGCAGUAGGGAAUCUUCCGCAAUGGGCGAAAGCCUGACGGAGCAACGCCGCGUGAGUGAUGAAGGUCUUCGGAUCGUAAAACUCUGUUAUUAGGGAAGAACAAAUGUGUAAGUAACUAUGCACGUAUUGACGGUACCUAAUCAGAAAGCAACGGCUAACUACGUG